UACGAAGGGGGCUAGCGUUAUUCGGAAUUAUUGGGCGUAAAGGGCGUGUAGGCGGCUUCGUAAGUCUUGUGUGAAAGCCCUCGGCUCAACCGAGGAAUUGCACGAGAAACUGCGUGGCUCGAGUCCGGGAGAGGAUAGUGGAAUUCCCAGUGUAGCGGUGAAAUGCGCAGAUAUCAGGAAGAACACCCGUGGCGAAAGCGGCUCUCUGGAACGGUACUGACGCUGAGACGCGAAAGCGUGGGGAGCGAACAGG
RNAcentral lists this ribosomal RNA (253 nucleotides) under uncultured bacterium. RNAcentral's name for it is "partial 16S ribosomal RNA". It matches the Rfam family "Bacterial small subunit ribosomal RNA", at positions 524 to 776 of the family's 1533-position model. The record is from RNAcentral.